Schistocerca serialis cubense is the source of this 1206-nucleotide long non-coding RNA. RefSeq lists it as uncharacterized. Lineage: Eukaryota; Metazoa; Arthropoda; Insecta; Orthoptera; Acrididae. The transcript has 5 exons. The record is from RefSeq and is a predicted model, not a curated record.
CCCAAAUUGACAAACAUGAUUUCUGAUCUUGUCAAAUCAGUGUCAAACAGAGUAGCCGAGGAAGUGCUAUAGAGGUUUCGUUUGGGUAGAUGCUAGAUGAUAUGCGCGGUACGGAUAACUACGGAAUUCAGCUGUAUACAUUAUUAGUGCUUGAUGAUUUAAGAUAAAACUGUGGAAAUUGUAACUUCACUGAGGAAUUUGGGUGAUGGGAGACACUCCAUCCAUACUGAAGAAGCAGAGAAAAUAAAGGGGCAUUACUCGGCAUGACUCAGCAGGCCCUCUGUCAUCAGGGAUUUUGCCGUAAGUGACAGUCAGCAUCUAACAGUGAAGUGUUGACUGUGUGUGCUGAUUCUGAUCAUAUAGAGUGUGAGUAGUACGGAGAUGCUUCGUGAAGUCGAGUGUGAAUCCUUGGAGGGAUGACAAUAUCCUUUUCAUGGAACACUGUUGAGAAAAUUUAGAGAACCAGCGUUUGAAGCUGACUGCAAACUACUCUUCUGCUGCAAAUGAUAAAUGAUACAUGUUGUGUAAAGAUCACAAAGAUUUAACUAGUUCGUAGGGAAUCUGAGCAUGAGGUACAGACAUUUGUAACACUCUUCACAGACUGAAAGUACUACCAAAGGAUGCCGAUUUCAUUACGAGGGAUUGUCCUGUAUCACUUGCUUCCUGCAAUGAAAUACCCAAAAAUCUGCUUGAAGGGAACAAUAAGAAGUAUUAGAAGGGAAAACUAAAUACUGGAAGAACAGAAUAGAUAAAAAUUAUUGUAUCUAAUGUUUUUAGUGUAAAAAUGCUGGUGAGUUACAAAAUACAGAAAGGAAAUGGUGCAAAUCAAUUGCAUUCUAAUUUUCUUUCGUCAGAACACAUUUAAAAUUGAAUCACGAUAUUUUCUUGAAUAUGCUGGAGCCAUGUUAUAAAUGACUCUGCAUAUACCCUGUAUUAUUUAAAAUGUUUGUUGAUAAUAUGUAGUACCACUAAAAAUAAUAAAUAUCCAGAAAUAUAUUUUAUAUCCACUAGAAGUAACCCUGACAAUUAUUUAUACACAAACCCAUGACAGUGUCAAACUGUUAAAACUUAUGGUGUAGUUAUAAUUAGUUGACUCAGAAAACUGAUAAAUUUGAUUAUAAAGCACACUGCUAAGCAAGCUGUUAUGUAAAAGAUGCAAUGUCUGGACAAGAUAUAUCUGUAUAUGCAAGAAAGUGUUUCGCUCAG